This 492-nucleotide ribosomal RNA is filed under the name uncultured bacterium. Its description in RNAcentral is "partial 16S ribosomal RNA". It matches the Rfam family "Bacterial small subunit ribosomal RNA", at positions 29 to 507 of the family's 1533-position model. The record is from RNAcentral.
AACGAACGCUGGCGGCAUGCUUAACACAUGCAAGUCGAACGGAAGGGCACUACUUGCUUGGUGCUAGAGGUGCGAACUGGUGGGUGAGACAGGAAUAAACUGCCACUAACUUCUUCGUAAGGUAUAAAGAAUGGAUAUAUAAGCUAAUAGGACAAUCGAUUAAUGGGUGAAAGGAAAAGAUUUUUCGAUUAUGCGUGAUCGCACGAGCUGACUUCGGAUUAGCUAGGUGGUGGGGUAACGAGCCAUCAAGGCGACGCUCCGUAGCUGGUCUGAGAGGAUGAUCAGCCACACUGGAGCUGAGACACGGUCCAGACUCCUACGGUAGGCAGCAGUGGGGAAUAUUGGACAAUGGGCGCAAGCCUUAUCCAGCCAUACCGCGUGUGUGAAGAAGGCCUUCGGGUUGUAAAGCCCUUUUGUUGGGAAAGAAAAGCAGCAGGUUAAUACCCCGCUGUUCUGACGGUACCCAAAGAAUAAGCACCGGCUAACUUCGUG